This 474-nucleotide ribosomal RNA is filed under the name uncultured bacterium. Its description in RNAcentral is "partial 16S ribosomal RNA". It matches the Rfam family "Bacterial small subunit ribosomal RNA", at positions 28 to 507 of the family's 1533-position model. The record is from RNAcentral.
GACGAACGCUGGCGGCGUGCCUAAUACAUGCAAGUAGAACGCUGAAGGAGGAGCUUGCUUCUCUGGAUGAGUUGCGAACGGGUGAGUAACGCGUAGGUAACCUGCCUGGUAGCGGGGGAUAACUAUUGGAAACGAUAGCUAAUACCGCAUAAGAGUAGAUGUUGCAUGACAUUUGCUUAAAAGGUGCAAUUGCAUCACUAGCAGAUGGACCUGCGUUGUAUUAUCUAGUUGGUGGGGUAACGGCUCACCAAGGCGACGAUGCUUAGCCAGACUGAGAGGGUGACACGGCCCAGUCGCAUUGAGGGAGGAGCCAGAGGGAAUCGUGGGCAAUGGGCGGAAGUUUGACCGAGAAACGCGGCGUGAGUGAAGAAGGUCGUCGGAUGGUAAAGCUCUGUUGUAAGAGAAGAACGAGUGUGAGAGUGGAAAGUUCACACUGUGACGGUAAUUUACAAGAAAGAGACGGCUAACUACGUG